UAUAUAAAAGUUUGCAAAUUGUA
RNAcentral lists this non-coding RNA (23 nucleotides) under Arabidopsis thaliana (thale cress). Lineage: Eukaryota; Viridiplantae; Streptophyta; Magnoliopsida; Brassicales; Brassicaceae. The record is from RNAcentral.